UCCCUGGUGGUCCAGUGGUUAGGACUCUGCGCUUCCAAUGCAGGGGCCCGGGUUCGAUCCCUGGUUAGGGAA
This 72-nucleotide transfer RNA is filed under the name Eschrichtius robustus (grey whale). It matches the Rfam family "tRNA". From Rfam's summary of the family: Transfer RNA (tRNA) molecules are approximately 80 nucleotides in length. Their secondary structure includes four short double-helical elements and three loops (D, anti-codon, and T loops). The record is from Rfam by way of RNAcentral. Lineage: Eukaryota; Metazoa; Chordata; Mammalia; Artiodactyla; Eschrichtiidae.